This is a non-coding RNA of Picea glauca (white spruce), 117 nucleotides long. Lineage: Eukaryota; Viridiplantae; Streptophyta; Pinopsida; Pinales; Pinaceae. The record is from Rfam.
CACUUACAACAUAGCGUUAAUGCACUAGAUCCCAUUAGAAAUCCGCAGUUAAGCAUGCUCAUGCUAGCGUAAUAUUGGGAUGGGUGACCACCUGGGAAGUCUUAGUAUUUUACAUGC